UUUCUUCUCAGGCAUUUAUCCGGCAAAGGCGAUUUCAAAGUCAUAUUCGUUAAAGCUCUCCCUCCAAAUGAGGGUCUGCGCUACGACAUCUUUACAACAGUUCACUUUGCCGUGGCAUCGAAGAACACUACAUUCAGAUUCGAAGUAAAUUUCGUUAAUGACAGCAUCCGCAUGACCGUAUAUUCGGGCACAACGGAUCCGAAGCCGUAGCAGUCCUCGAAUGAUUGGAUCUUCAUAGUAAACUUGCAAUUACAAAUGUACAAAAAUGCAAUGAAUUGCAUUGAAUCGAAUGAAUAAAAGACGAGCGCUCUUUUAUUUGAAUUA
RNAcentral lists this small RNA (324 nucleotides) under Drosophila pseudoobscura pseudoobscura. Its description in RNAcentral is "GA30654". The record is from RNAcentral. Lineage: Eukaryota; Metazoa; Arthropoda; Insecta; Diptera; Drosophilidae.